RNAcentral lists this ribosomal RNA (274 nucleotides) under uncultured bacterium. RNAcentral describes it as "partial 16S ribosomal RNA". It matches the Rfam family "Bacterial small subunit ribosomal RNA", at positions 523 to 796 of the family's 1533-position model. The record is from RNAcentral.
AUACGGAGGGUGCAAGCGUUAAUCGGAAUUACUGGGCGUAAAGCGUACGUAUGCGGUUCGUUAAGUUAGAUGUGAAAGCCCCGGGCUUAACCUGGGAACUGCAUUUAAAACUGGCGAACUAGAGUUGAGUAGAGGGGAGUGGAAUUUCAGGUGUAGCGGUGAAAUGCGUAGAGAUCUGAAGGAACACCAGUGGCGAAGGCGACUCCCUGGACUCGAACUGACGCUGAGGUACGAAAGCGUGGGUAGCAAACGGGAUUAGAAACCCUAGUAGUCC